Molecule: ribosomal RNA, 144 nt
Filed under: Salmonella enterica
Lineage: Bacteria; Pseudomonadati; Pseudomonadota; Gammaproteobacteria; Enterobacterales; Enterobacteriaceae
Also listed under: 1 other name
Description: partial 16S ribosomal RNA
Rfam family: Bacterial small subunit ribosomal RNA
Source: RNAcentral
AAAUUGAAGAGUUUGAUCAUGGCUCAGAUUGAACGCUGGCGGCAGGCCUAACACAUGCAAGUCGAACGGUAACAGGAAGCAGCUUGCUGCUUCGCUGACGAGUGGCGGACGGGUGAGUAAUGUCUGGGAAACUGCCUAAUGGAG